AGAAGCUUCACUCUGCUUGCAAAGACUGGGGUUUGUUUCAGUUAAUAAACCAUGGAGUUUCAGAUGCAACACUGGGAAACAUUAAGAAGCAAACUCAAGAAUUCUUCGAACUUCCCUUAGAAGAGAAGAAACUCUGGGCACAGAAACCAGGAACUCUUGAAGGCUAUGGCCAAGCAUUUGUAACCUCAGAAGAACAAAAGCUUGAUUGGAAUGACAUGAUCUUCCUCAAAGCUCUUCCCAUUCAAAACAGAAAAUUGGAAUUCUGGCCAGAAAAACCUCAAAAAUUCAGGGAAACCGUACAGAACUAUUCAGAAGAUAUCAGGCAGCUUGCAGUUUCUAUAACAAAAUUCAUGGCCAUGGGGCUUGGGCUUAAUGAUCAGGCUCAGGAAUUCUCUCAGAGUUUUCAAGAAGG
This 412-nucleotide unclassified non-coding RNA is filed under the name Hevea brasiliensis (rubber tree). Lineage: Eukaryota; Viridiplantae; Streptophyta; Magnoliopsida; Malpighiales; Euphorbiaceae. The record is from RNAcentral.